GACGAACGCUGGCGGCGUGCUUAACACAUGCAAGUCGAACGGGCCCGCUCUCUUUUUUGGGGGUGGGUUGAGUGGCGAACGGGUGAGUAUCACGUGAGUAACCUGCCCCCUGCUCCUGGAUAACUGCUUGAAAGGGCGGCUAAUACGGGGUGUGCCGGCUGGUCCGCAUGGGCCUGGUCGGGAUAGUUUCAUCUUCGGGGGUUUCGGUGGGGGAUGGGCUCGCGGCCUAUCAGCUUGUUGGUGGGGUGAUGGCCCACCAAGGCGGUGACGGGUAGCCGGCCUGAGAGGGUGGGCGGCCACACUGGGACUGAGACACGGCCCAGACUCCGGCGGGAGGCAGCAGUGGGGGGUAUUGCACAAUGGGCGGAAGCCUGAUGCAGCGACGUCGCGUGAGGGAUGGAGGCCUUCGGGUUGUGAACCUCUUUCUCCGGUGGUGAAGGCCCUGUCCGGUGCGGCGGGGUUGACGGUAGCCGGGUAUGAAGCGCCGGCUAACUACGUG
This 499-nucleotide ribosomal RNA is filed under the name uncultured bacterium. Its description in RNAcentral is "partial 16S ribosomal RNA". It matches the Rfam family "Bacterial small subunit ribosomal RNA", at positions 28 to 507 of the family's 1533-position model. The record is from RNAcentral.